This 27-nucleotide non-coding RNA is filed under the name Homo sapiens (human). The record is from RNAcentral. Lineage: Eukaryota; Metazoa; Chordata; Mammalia; Primates; Hominidae.
UGCCCGAUUCUUGGAUUGAAUCUUCAA